RNAcentral lists this ribosomal RNA (253 nucleotides) under uncultured bacterium. RNAcentral's name for it is "partial 16S ribosomal RNA". It matches the Rfam family "Bacterial small subunit ribosomal RNA", at positions 524 to 776 of the family's 1533-position model. The record is from RNAcentral.
AACGUAGGUGGCGAGCGUUAUCCGGAUUUACUGGGCGUAAAGGGUGUGCAGGCGGGCUGUUAAGUGGUGUGUGAAAUAUCCCGGCUCAACCGGGAAGGGUUAUGCCAGACUGGCAGUCUAGAGAGCGAGAGAGGGACGUGGAAUUCCGGGUGUAGUGGUGAAAUGCGUAGAGAUCCGGAGGAACCCCAGAGGCGAAGGCGGCGUCCUGGCUCGCAUCUGACGCUCAGACACGACAGCAUGGGGAGCGAACAGG